UCUCUCUCACAUAUUAGUGUCGCCGACAUCAACGAAAAGCAGAGGAGACCGUCGAAGCAGCAAGUCGCCGGAACUGCACACUUUCUGCUGACCUUCCCGGAGAAUCCCAACGCCGAUUCACCCUGCCGACAUCGAUCGAUUUAGAUCCGAAUCGAUCAACGACGUAUCGAUCGUUGCCAAAUCACUGAACGGAACGGUUAUCCGCCGGCGGUUUUCUGGAUGACUGAACGGAACGGUUAUCCACCGGCGGUCCAGAAUAUCCGGAAUCGGUCACUGACGUAAAGAGACGUCGUAAACGAGGAAAGUGGAGAUGGAUGAUUCACGUAUGAGGUCGAUAAGGAUGAUUCACGUAUGUUUGUUUUGCUUGGUCCAUAAGGAUGAUUCAACAUACAACGCGGCGAAUAGUUGUAAAAGACUAUGUCUUUUUUAUUUUUCCGAUUAUGUUGCGUUUAUUGUUUUCACGAAACUGGAACUUGUAAUUGUAUGUUUUU
This is a long non-coding RNA of Helianthus annuus (common sunflower), 491 nucleotides long. RefSeq lists it as uncharacterized. The transcript has 3 exons. The record is from RefSeq and is a predicted model, not a curated record. NCBI's taxonomy places the organism in Eukaryota, Viridiplantae, Streptophyta, Magnoliopsida, Asterales, Asteraceae.